RNAcentral lists this small RNA (805 nucleotides) under Histoplasma capsulatum var. duboisii H88. RNAcentral's name for it is "Histoplasma capsulatum H88 hypothetical RNA". Lineage: Eukaryota; Fungi; Ascomycota; Eurotiomycetes; Onygenales; Ajellomycetaceae. The record is from RNAcentral.
GCCAUUGACAACAUCACCGCCAACCCCAGCCAUGUUAAUCAAACAUACAGUCAUCCCGGAGGCUUCCAGCUCGCCGCCCUACGUAGAAUAUGAACAAUUUAUUAUUUUCGGCGACUCCAUAACGCAGGGCUCGUGCGAUCAGGGGAGAGGAUUCGCCUUUUCUCCAGCGCUACAGAGUGAUUAUAUCAGACGCUUCGAUAUCAUCAAUCGCGGUUUCAGUGGCUAUACAUCGCAACAGGCUCUCGCCAUCUUUCCGUCCUUCUUCCCGCCAGUGCAAAAGGCGAAAGUCCGCCUAAUGAUUGUCUUCUUCGGCGCAAACGACGCCGUCCUCCCUGGAUUCGAACAACACGUCCCCCUCCCCACCUACGAAGCCAACUUAAGAAAAAUCCUCACACACCCGCUCAUCAAAGAGCACAAGGAAACAAACCUUCUCCUCCUAACCCCUCCGCCUGUCGAUGAGUAUCAGUUUUCCGCUGCAGAUACAGAUACAGAUAUGGGUACAGAUACAGGUACAGCUACACCGUCAGGCACGCCCGAACCAGCCUCCGUAGCAGUAAUGCGCAAAGCGUCCCAGACAAAAAAGUAUGCAGACGCCUGCCGGCAAGUGGGCAAAGCGCUCAACGUGCCCGUCGCCGACAUAUGGACUGCAUUCAUGACCGCAGCGGGGUGGGUGGAAGGCCAGCCGCUCCCGGGAUCAAGAGAUGCCCCUGCGAAUAAGAAGUUGCAGGCCUUGUUGUCGGAUGGUCUCCAUUUCAACCCGGCAGGAUAUCAAGUUAUGUACGACGAGGUGACGAGGGCGAUUCGG